RNAcentral lists this ribosomal RNA (1003 nucleotides) under uncultured bacterium. RNAcentral's name for it is "bacterial SSU rRNA". It matches the Rfam family "Bacterial small subunit ribosomal RNA", at positions 356 to 1376 of the family's 1533-position model. The record is from RNAcentral.
GGGGGAUAUUGCACAAUGGGGGAAACCCUGAUGCAGCGACGCCGCGUGGAGGAAGAAGGUUUUCGGAUUGUAAACUAUUGUCGUUAGGGAAGAUACAAGACAGUACCUAAGGAGGAAGCUCCGGCUAACUACGUGCCAGCAGCCGCGGUAAUACGUAGGGAGCAAGCGUUAUCCGGAUUUAUUGGGUGUAAAGGGUGCGUAGACGGGACAACAAGUUAGUUGUGAAAUCCCUCGGCUUAACUGAGGAACUGCAACUAAAACUAUUGUUCUUGAGUGUUGGAGAGGAAAGUGGAAUUCCUAGUGUAGCGGUGAAAUGCGUAGAUAUUAGGAGGAACACCGGUGGCGAAGGCGACUUUCUGGACAAUAACUGACGUUGAGGCACGAAAGUGUGGGGAGCAAACAGGAUUAGAUACCCUGGUAGUCCACACCGUAAACGAUGGAUACUAGGUGUAGGAAAUGAUUUCAUUUUCUGUGCCGUCGCAAACGCAAUAAGUAUCCCACCUGGGGAGUACGGCCGCAAGGUUGAAACUCAAAGGAAUUGACGGGGGCCCGCACAAGCAGUGGAGUAUGUGGUUUAAUUCGAAGCAACGCGAAGAACCUUACCAGGGCUUGACAUAUAGAUGAAUAACUAAGAGAUUAGUUAGUCCUUCGGGACAUCUAUACAGGUGGUGCAUGGUUGUCGUCAGCUCGUGUCGUGAGAUGUUAGGUUAAGUCCUGCAACGAGCGCAACCCCUGUGAUUAGUUGCCAACAGGUUAAGCUGGGAACUCUAAUCAGACUGCCGGUGAUAAAUCGGAGGAAGGUGGGGAUGACGUCAAAUCAUCAUGCCCUUUAUGUCCUGGGCUACACACGUACUACAAUGGCUGUAACAGAGAGAAGCAACACCGCGAGGUAGAGCGAAACUCCAAAAGCAGUCUCAGUUCGGAUUGAAGGCUGAAAUUCGCCUUCAUGAAGCCGGAAUUGCUAGUAAUGGCAGGUCAGCAUACUGCCGUGAAUACGUUCCCG